Molecule: ribosomal RNA, 253 nt
Filed under: uncultured bacterium
Lineage: Bacteria
Description: partial 16S ribosomal RNA
Rfam family: Bacterial small subunit ribosomal RNA
Source: RNAcentral
UACGAAGGGAGCUAGCGUUGUUCGGAAUCACUGGGCGUAAAGCGCACGUAGGCGGAUGUGUCAGUCAGGGGUGAAAUCCCGGAGCUCAACUUCGGAACUGCCUUUGAUACAGCACGUCUUGAGUCCGAUAGAGGUGGGUGGAAUUCCUAGUGUAGAGGUGAAAUUCGUAGAUAUUAGGAAGAACACCGGUGGCGAAGGCGGCCCACUGGAUCGGUACUGACGCUGAGGUGCGAAUGCGUGGGGAGCAAACAGG